RNAcentral lists this ribosomal RNA (253 nucleotides) under uncultured bacterium. RNAcentral describes it as "partial 16S ribosomal RNA". It matches the Rfam family "Bacterial small subunit ribosomal RNA", at positions 524 to 776 of the family's 1533-position model. The record is from RNAcentral.
UACGUAGGGGGCAAGCGUUGUCCGGAAUCAUUGGGCGUAAAGCGCGCGUAGGCGGUCCGAUAAGUCUGCUGUGAAAGUCGGGGGCUCAACCCUCGGAUGCCGGUGGAUACUGUCGGGCUUGAGUGCGGAAGAGGCAAGUGGAAUUCCCGGUGUAGCGGUGAAAUGCGCAGAUAUCGGGAGGAACACCAAUGGCGAAGGCAGCUUGCUGGGACGGUACUGACGCUGAGGCGCGAAAGCGUGGGGAGCAAACAGG